GACGAACGCUGGCGGCGUGCUUAACACAUGCAAGUCGAGCGGUAAGGCCCCUUUGGGGGUACUCGAGCGGCGAACGGGUGAGUAACACGUGGGUGACCUGCCCUCAGCUCUGGGAUAACCCUGGGAAACUGGGUCUAAUACCGGAUAUGACUUCUUCCUGCAUGGGGUUUGUUGGAAAGCUUGUUCGGCUUGGGAUGGGCGCGCGGCCUAUCAGCUUGUUGGUGGGGUGAUGGCAUACCAAGGCGUGGACGGGUAGCCGGCCUGAGAGGGCGACCGGCCAGGAUGGGAAUAAGGCACAGACCAGAAUGCGACGGAGGAGAGGAGAGGAGAAUAUUAUGGGAGGAGGGGAAGCGUGGCACAGCGGCGCGGGGGAGGAGGGGACGGGGGUCGGAAACUGAACCUAUUAGGGCCCAGGCGAAUGGGGACGGUAGGGGUAGAAGAAGCACCGGCCAACUACGUG
RNAcentral lists this ribosomal RNA (460 nucleotides) under uncultured bacterium. RNAcentral describes it as "partial 16S ribosomal RNA". It matches the Rfam family "Bacterial small subunit ribosomal RNA", at positions 28 to 507 of the family's 1533-position model. The record is from RNAcentral.